UAGGGAAUCUUCGGCAAUGGGGGCAACCCUGACCGAGCAACGCCGCGUGAGUGAAGAAGGUUUUCGGAUCGUAAAGCUCUGUUGUAAGAGAAGAACGUGUGUGAGAGUGGAAAGUUCACACAGUGACGGUAACUUACCAGAAAGGGACGGCUAACUACGUGCCAGCAGCCGCGGUAAUACGUAUGUCCCGAGCGUUGUCCGGAUUUAUUGGGCGUAAAGCGAGCGCAGGCGGUUUAAUAAGUCUGUAGUUAAAGGCAGUGGCUUAACCAUUGUUAGCUUUGGAAACUGUUAAACGUGAGUGGGGAAGGGGGGAGUGGAAUUUGAUGUGUAGCGGUGAAAUGCGUAGAUAUAUGGAGGAGAACCGGUGGCGAAAGCGGCGCUCUGGUCGGUAACUGACGCUGAGGCUCGAAAGCGUGGGGAGCAAAAAGG
This 429-nucleotide ribosomal RNA is filed under the name bacterium. RNAcentral describes it as "partial 16S ribosomal RNA". It matches the Rfam family "Bacterial small subunit ribosomal RNA", at positions 355 to 776 of the family's 1533-position model. The record is from RNAcentral.